UGCCAGCCGCCGCGGUAAUACGGAGGGAGCUAGCGUUGUUCGGAAUUACUGGGCGUAAAGGGCGUGUAGGCUGUUAGGUAAGUCAGAGGUGAAAUCCCUAAGCUCAACUUAGGAACUGCCUUUGAUACUAUCUUACUAGAGAUCGAGAGAAGUUGGCGGAAUUCCAAGUGUAGAGGUGAAAUUCGUAGAUAUUUGGAAGAACACCAGUGGCGAAAGCGGCCAACUGGCUCGUAUCUGACGCUGAGACGCGAAAGCGUGGGUAGCAAACAGGAUUAGAUA
This 279-nucleotide ribosomal RNA is filed under the name uncultured bacterium. RNAcentral's name for it is "partial 16S ribosomal RNA". It matches the Rfam family "Bacterial small subunit ribosomal RNA", at positions 506 to 784 of the family's 1533-position model. The record is from RNAcentral.